Molecule: non-coding RNA, 74 nt
Organism: Papilio xuthus (Asian swallowtail)
Lineage: Eukaryota; Metazoa; Arthropoda; Insecta; Lepidoptera; Papilionidae
Source: Rfam
GGCCUAUUAGCUCAGUUGGUUAAAGCGUCGUGCUAAUAACGCGAUGGUCGCGAGUUCGAUCCCCUCAUGGGCCA